ACAACAGGAACUCCUCUGUCUUGUGUGUCUUUUUGACUUUUUUUUUUUUUUUUACUUUUGCAAAGUGACAUUUAAUUCACUUCAGUAAUUCAAAUUGCCAGGGUCUUAAGUCUGCAAAUUUUUCACUUUUGCAUGGAUUAUAAAUUUCAGAACAAACCUUGAAAAUUUUACAAUUAUGAUAUCUACAACUAAAAUCAGAAAACUUGUAAUAAAAUGGCUGCACUUUACACUCGGUGACUUUACAUAGAGUGCAUUGAAUGGCAUAAUUUUUGUAAUAAAAUAUUCAUGUGUAAGCUCCAUUUUGAAUAUAUCUCCUAUGGAAUUUCUUAGUAUAUUGUUGCUUUUAAAUUAUGCACAGAAACAAGAGGAAAGAGUAGCACAAAAACCUCUGAAAAAGAGAACUUCAAGAAUAAGUAGUUAUUGCUGGAAGCUAGGGCUGUGUCUGUUGGACUCUUUUGACUUGUACCUUUUAAUAGAAGUUUAUUUUAGUCAUUUAGAUUAGAAAUAAUCUCUUUUUCUUCCCUUUUCUCCUAACACAUUGUGUUCUCUGAAUAACCCUGUUACAUUGCAGGUAUGAAAGUUGCAGUCAUUACAUAUUGAAAUACCACUUCCAAGUACACAUUCCACUAACGUCAGCCAGCUGUCUUAAAAACUUAAGUAUGAAUAAAACAGAUUAUUUUAUCUAGUAUGGACAUAACCAUACUCUCACCCCUAAUUUUAGAACUGGGUGUUAUCACAUUGACAUUAUACUUACUUUGGGGAAUGACUGAAGGCUUCAUUGGAGAGUGUUGUCCAGUUGUUAAUACUUACAUGUUUUCUUAAUUGAACUUCUUUUUGUGAGUGUCUUUUUUUUUUUCUCUUUUUAGGGCCACACCUGUGGCAUAUGGAAGUUCCCAGGCUAGGGGCCCAGUGGAGCUGCAGCUGCAGGCCUACACCAUAGCCACAGUAAUGUGGGAUCUGAGCCGAGUCUGCAGCCUACAUCACAGCUCACAGCAAUGCUGGAUCCUUUAACCUACUAAGCAGGGCCAGGGAUCGAACCCGUGUCCUCAUGGAAACUAGUUGGAUUUGUUACCACUGAGCCACAGCGGCAACUCCAAAAUGAAAGAAAAUUUGAUUUGGGAAAGGACUGUGUAUUUUUCCUCAUUUCUUUUUUCUUUUUUCUUAAUACUAUUAGAAAAAAAUGUUUCUUCCAUGGUCUUUUCCUGUGCAUUUUUUCUUUUCCUUCUAUUUUCUGCUCAGCAAUCCUCACAUUAACUUCAUAACAUUUUUAAUGAAGAUGAUGGGAUGGUAAGUUACAAAAGAGGGGUAACUUUUUUUCCUCCUGUGUUCCACUGACGAACUCAUUGUUCUUUAUGAACCUUGUUUAGUCAUGUUCAACUUAUAGAUCACAGCUUUGCAGUUAGUUUCCUGAUCCUGUGGUUUAGGUAGGACUUUGGUAUGAAAAUAUUUGGUAAGAUAUUGAAAAACCUACCAGUGUUACUCAUUGGUUGGGAGUCUUAUAAGCAUGGCGUGGGACUUGAAUGUGUGGAUUUGUGAAAAAAAUGCUUUCAUAAUACUUAAGCCUUAUGCUGAUAGACUAGCUGAUGAAUAGUUGAUGGAAAUUCACUAUUAUGGAAUUCCCUUUAGGUUGUGAUUCUCCAGUUUGCCUUUCUUAAAGAACUGAAUGAUUUUGAAGGAAAACUGGUAACAAAAUAUUUUUAGUUCAGCCUAAGUGACCAUAUUCUGCACUGCUUCUUCAGUAAGGAUUAGGAAUUUAGUAUCAGCAAGCCUUAAUAGUACUUAAGUAGCUGCCAUUGAAAAACUGUCAAUGCCAGGACCUAGUCUAGAUAUGAUUGUUACAGUCUUUCUCUCUCUCUCUCUUUUUUUUUUUUUUUGGUCUUUUUUUGCCAUUUCUUGGGCCGCUCCCGCAACAUAUGGAGGUUCCCAGGCUAGGGGUCAAAUCAGAGCUGUAGCUGCCAGCCUACGCCAGAGCCACAGCAACGGGGGAUCCGAGCCGCGUCUGCAACCUACACCACAGCUCACGGCAACGCCGGAUCGUUAACCCACUGAGCAAGGGCAGGGACCGAACCCGCAACCUCAUGGUUCCUAUUCGGAUUCGUUAACCUCUGUGCCACGACGGGAACUCCCAGUCUCUCUUUUUUUUAUAGUGAUCAUACAAGGAUUUUAUAGAGGAAACAAAAACUUGGAGUUCAAACAAUUUAUCCGACAUAAUUUCUCUUGCGAAAGAUGUAACUGGGAUUCAGAUACAUCCCUUGCUAUGUCCCAUUUUAUCUUUUAAACCACGUAAUCAUCUUUGCUUCAGUUAUUAGUAUUAAUUGAGGUUUAUUUUCAAGGCAGGAAAGAAAUUCCAAUGGAGAGUUGAAUGCAUCUUUAUGUUACCUUUGAAUUUAUAGGGUUAGAGGUACGGUUACUUAACAAGUUGAGUGAAGAAAUCUGUAAAUGGCCAUUUACUUAGAAUGCUACUUUUAAGUCAAGAUUGAAAGCUGAGAUACUGUUUAAUGUUUAAAUGUUUUCUACAAAAUAUACAUUUGAUAUAAUAAUUACAUUUCAGCAACGUCUUUUCAGUUGAGUUGCUACAUUAUUGUGCUUUAAUAUUUAAAUUUUAUUUUAAUCUUUCCAGAUUUUAGUUAGCAUUUGAAAUUUGUAGUAUUCAAUAAAAGGAUUGUUGAAUUAUG
RNAcentral lists this long non-coding RNA (2675 nucleotides) under Sus scrofa (pig). RNAcentral describes it as "lncRNA (ENSSSCG00045001491.1)". Lineage: Eukaryota; Metazoa; Chordata; Mammalia; Artiodactyla; Suidae. The record is from RNAcentral.